Molecule: long non-coding RNA, 308 nt
Filed under: Carica papaya (papaya)
Lineage: Eukaryota; Viridiplantae; Streptophyta; Magnoliopsida; Brassicales; Caricaceae
Description: long non-coding RNA (CPAP_LNC000441)
Source: RNAcentral
UAUCAAAAUGUAGCAAAUCAGUUCUAGUUUUUAGAAACGUUUCGACAACCAAUCCUUCCUUAAUUUUAAACCACUCAAGAAACGUUCACUAAUUGGUUCUCAUUGACGUUCACUAAUUGGUUCUCAUUGAUCAAAUAACUCUAGAAACGUCCCUGGAAUUUAAUAUGUCAAUGUCCUUAGAAACUAGAAACACCUGAUUCAGAUUGUCGGAUUCAUCUACAUGAACCAGUCAACCAAAUUAUUUGUUCUCUUAGUCCGAAACUAAUCGCCACUAGGUACUAUUUUGAGCUACCUCGGAUGGCUGUAUG